RNAcentral lists this ribosomal RNA (859 nucleotides) under Salmonella enterica. RNAcentral's name for it is "partial 23S ribosomal RNA". It matches the Rfam family "Bacterial large subunit ribosomal RNA", at positions 877 to 1649 of the family's 2925-position model. The record is from RNAcentral. Lineage: Bacteria; Pseudomonadati; Pseudomonadota; Gammaproteobacteria; Enterobacterales; Enterobacteriaceae.
GCGCCUCGUGAAUUCAUCUCCGGGGGUAGAGCACUGUUUCGGCUAGGGGGCCAUCCCGGCUUACCAACCCGAUGCAAACUGCGAAUACCGGAGAAUGUUAUCACGGGAGACACACGGCGGGUGCUAACGUCCGUCGUGAAGAGGGAAACAACCCAGACCGCCAGCUAAGGUCCCAAAGUCAUGGUUAAGUGGGAAACGAUGUGGGAAGGCCCAGACAGCCAGGAUGUUGGCUUAGAAGCAGCCAUCAUUUAAAGAAAGCGUAAUAGCUCACUGGUCGAGUCGGCCUGCGCGGAAGAUGUAACGGGGCUAAACCAUGCACCGAAGCUGCGGCAGCGAACGUAUCACCCAAGACAACUUUACGGAGUUGACGAUUGACGGAGCGAAGCGACGUCAAAGCGUUCAUUAAAGUCGAGUUGGCUUAGGGAUACGUUCGUUGGGUAGGGGAGCGUUCUGUAAGCCUGUGAAGGUGUGUCGUGAGGCAUGCUGGAGGUAUCAGAAGUGCGAAUGCUGACAUAAGUAACGAUAAAGCGGGUGAAAAGCCCGCUCGCCGGAAGACCAAGGGUUCCUGUCCAACGUUAAUCGGGGCAGGGUGAGUCGACCCCUAAGGCGAGGCCGAAAGGCGUAGUCGAUGGGAAACGGGUUAAUAUUCCCGUACUUGGUGUUACUGCGAAGGGGGGACGGAGAAGGCUAUGUUGGCCGGGCGACGGUUGUCCCGGUUUAAGCGUGUAGGUGUGUGUUCCAGGUAAAUCCGGUUCACUUUAACACUGAGGCGUGACGACGAGGCACUACGGUGCUGAAGCAACAAAUGCCCUGCUUCCAGGAAAAGCCUCUAAGCAUCAGGUAACACGAAAUCGUACCC